AUUGAACGCUGGCGGCAGGCCUAACACAUGCAAGUCGAGCGGAUGAAGGGAGCUUGCUCCUGGAUUCAGCGGCGGACGGGUGAGUAAUGCCUAGGAAUCUGCCUAGUAGUGGGGGAUAACGUCCGGAAACGGGCGCUAAUACCGCAUACGUCCUGAGGGAGCAAGUGGGGGAUCUUCGGACCUCACGCUAUCAGAUGAGCCUAGGUCGGGUUAGCUAGUUGGUGGGGUAAAGGCCUACCAAGGCGACGAUCAGUAACUGGUCUGAGAGGAUGAUCAGUCACGCUCGAACUGAGACACGGUCCAGACUCCGACGGGAGGCAGCAGUGGGGAAUAUUGGACAAAGGGCGAAAGCCUGAUCCAGCCAUGCGGCGUGGGUGAAGAAGGUCUUCGGAUGGGAAAGCACUUGAAGUUGGGGGGAAGGGCAGUAAGUUAAUACCUUGAUGUUUUGACGGUACCAACAGAAUAAGCACCGGCUAACUUCGUG
RNAcentral lists this ribosomal RNA (484 nucleotides) under uncultured bacterium. RNAcentral's name for it is "partial 16S ribosomal RNA". It matches the Rfam family "Bacterial small subunit ribosomal RNA", at positions 30 to 507 of the family's 1533-position model. The record is from RNAcentral.